This 253-nucleotide ribosomal RNA is filed under the name uncultured bacterium. Its description in RNAcentral is "partial 16S ribosomal RNA". It matches the Rfam family "Bacterial small subunit ribosomal RNA", at positions 524 to 776 of the family's 1533-position model. The record is from RNAcentral.
UACGUAGGUGGCGAGCGUUGUCCGGAUUUACUGGGCGUAAAGAGCGCGCAGGCGGCUGGUCAAGUCCGAUGUGAAAGCUCCCGGCUUAACUGGGAAAUUGCAUCGGAAACUGAUCGGCUGGAAGGUGGGAGAGGGUAGCGGAAUUCCCGGUGUAGUGGUGAAAUGCGUAGAUAUCGGGAGGAACACCAGUGGCGAAAGCGGCUUCCUGGUCCAGCACCGACGUUCAGGCACGAAAGCGUGGGGAGCAAACAGG